AGGAAGUUAGUCCAGCUAAGACAGUUGAUUUCGGCUCAACAGACCAUAGUAACAACCCUAUGACUUCCUC
Molecule: transfer RNA, 70 nt
Filed under: Lophoceros camurus (red-billed dwarf hornbill)
Lineage: Eukaryota; Metazoa; Chordata; Aves; Bucerotiformes; Bucerotidae
Description: Tockus camurus (red-billed dwarf hornbill) tRNA-Arg
Source: RNAcentral